GGCCGCGGUAUCCUAACCGUGCAAAGGUAGCAUAAUCACUUGUCCCCUAAAUAGGGACUAGAAUGAACGGUUAAAUGAGGGCUUCACUGUCUCUUACAUUCGACCAAUAAACCUGAUCUUUCAGUCCAAAAGCUGAAAUAAACCCAUAAGACGAGAAGACCCUGUGGAGCUUCCAAACCAAGCCCACCACCCUAUGUCCCCUUGGUUUUUAGUUGGGGCGACUUUGGAGCACAAACAACCCUCCAACUACGGACCUUCCCCUCUAGAUGUACAUAUCAACAAAAAUUUUCCCCGACCCAGUAGCUAAAUUGUCUAUCUGACCAAUGGACCAAGUUACCCCAGGGAUAACAGCGCCAUCCUCUUCUAGAGUCCCUAUCGACAAGAGGGUUUACGACCUCGAUGUUGGAUCAGGACACCCCUAUAGUGCAGCCGCUAUAAAAGGU
This 443-nucleotide ribosomal RNA is filed under the name Meroles cuneirostris. Its description in RNAcentral is "partial 16S ribosomal RNA". It matches the Rfam family "Archaeal large subunit ribosomal RNA", at positions 2006 to 2641 of the family's 2987-position model. The record is from RNAcentral. Lineage: Eukaryota; Metazoa; Chordata; Lepidosauria; Squamata; Lacertidae.